UCGAAAAUGGAAAAAUAACAAUAUCUGUGACCUAAACAUAUAAAUAAAGGGAUUGAAGUCAAUACCAGUCUUCAAUUAUUUUCUUAGAACAUUAACCUGAAAAAAAAAAUGUAGUGUAGAAAAUAGAAUGUUGGAAAUCAAUCAAUUUCAUCAGCAUCAUCGUUUCUGUUGUGGUCAACAUCGUCAGCAGCGAAUGGAGCAGGUAAAUUUCCAGGAUUUAACAACAGUGACUAGCUCAAUAUUUCAGUUGUUGGGGUGUUUUAUGAUCCUUUGCAGAACCACGGUCCUUGCUCUCCUAAUAUCCCGGCUACAAGUAUCAGCUUGUUGCCCCAAAUCCUCCACAUUCUUCAUAAACACUCCCAGCUUCUUUUUGAUUUCAUCUAUCCCAAUCUUCACAGCUUCUUCCUCUAUUGCAAAAUCUGCAUUUUGCAAGAGGGCUUCAAUUUCAAUCUCCAAUUUAUCAAUGAGAAUCCGGAUGUUAUCCAAAUCUCUAAUGGCCACAUAAGUUCCUGCUUGCAUUGAGCUAAUCACUUCCUUCUGUCCUUUCAAUGCGUUUUCAUAGUUUUUCCAGAGAGAAUCAAUCCACUUCCCCAUUGAACCUAAUGGAAUAGCAGUUGCAGCAGCAAGAGCUGCAGCAACUGGAGGGGCAGCCAUAGCUGCUGCCACAACUGAACAUAUCAACACAGCAGCAAAUGUAGCAACAAAUAUCAUACUUGAUACCUUACGCCAAGCAUGAAUGUACUUGAGCUUCUUGUCAAGCUUGUUCUUUCGAAGUUGCAAUUUCUCGAGCAUUGCUACUUGUUGCCUAUAAACAGAUUGAAAGAUUUGAAAGAAUUCCUCGGUGAAAGGAUCACCAGCUGCCUUGAAAUUCUUCAACUCUUCCAAUGUCCUCACAUACCUACUCCCACCAAUCUCACUUUCUUCUUCGAAUUGUUGCAAGGCAACAAGAAUAAGCAAUUGGCUAUCACGAGCACGCUUCAAACACUUCUCUAACGCAGAACAAAAAUCAAGAGUUUGCAAGCUAUUCUCAAAAUACUCUUUGACAAGCUCAAACAAUUCUUGACUCUUCCAUAUAUCUUUCUUGCAUUCUAAGAUAACUUUAACAACCUCUUGAUUCAUCUGCAGAAGACAUUCUGUUACCUCUUUUAGUGAAUCAAAUGAAAGUGCUCGGACUUCAACACCAACUGCCAGAGUGUUGAUGACUUGAUUGGUUCGAGCUUGGACAUUAGUGUCAAAGUUCUGCAAGUCUGUGUCUAUCUUGCAAGCAGCUUCAUAAGAACUCAAUUCAGUUGUGUACUGCAAAUUGUUGCUAAGAUUGAUAGCUGAUGAUGUUUCAGAUGUCUUCUUGCUCGUAUGAUUCCCCAUAGCUCUGUCAGAUCAGAUCUAAGCAGAGAAAAAAAAUCAAAUCCAAAUUCAAUUCAGCACACUUUUCCAAUCCCUGAACUUGAAAUCUGUUUAUAAAUUUACAAUCUUUUACUGUGGCAAAGGCUACUAAAUUAUCAAAGAUAUUAUGAACAUAUGAGCUAAAGCAUGAAAAAGGAGAUUCUUACACCAGAAAAUAUAUACUAUAUACAACAAAUC
RNAcentral lists this long non-coding RNA (1581 nucleotides) under Durio zibethinus. RNAcentral describes it as "long non-coding RNA (DZIB_LNC000728)". Lineage: Eukaryota; Viridiplantae; Streptophyta; Magnoliopsida; Malvales; Malvaceae. The record is from RNAcentral.